This 1086-nucleotide long non-coding RNA is filed under the name Equus caballus (horse). RNAcentral describes it as "lncRNA (ENSECAG00000058572.1)". The record is from RNAcentral. Lineage: Eukaryota; Metazoa; Chordata; Mammalia; Perissodactyla; Equidae.
UCUAGAACCUGACACUAAUGGGAUAUUGGUGGACAGUUGCUCUCCUCUCCAUGUUUGUUAGGAGAGUACAUUGACUUGGGCCAGUGCCUUCAUUCCUGAUGGUUUUCUGCUCAGUUCCUGCAGAAAAAUGUUGUUUACAUGAACAGGGAUGGCAACAGGAUUGGGUGUUAUGAUCAAGGAGCCUGGCUUGAAGAAGGAUCAUCCCAGGGGCCCAACAGAGUGGUUAAGAUCUUGGGCCCAGAAGCCGGUCAGCCAGGCCUGUUUUGGAAUCCAGCUCCACAUUUGAUAGCUGGGUGACUCAGGAAACUUGCUGCAUGUUUCCAACAUUCAGUUUCCUCAUCUGUAAAAGUGGAGAUAAGGGACCAUGAGGGGCGUUAAAAGAGAUGAUCUAGAAAUGAAGGACCCCAAGAUGGCAGAACCACAGGAUGCAAGAAGCUCAGAUCCCUGAGUGCCUGUGUGGAGAUGACAUGACAAGGAGAGCUGCCCAACCUGUAUUGGACUUGGAUCACACACUAAAAGGACCUCAUAACCCAACUACAAACAGAAGCUAUCUUGCUGCUGUGCAGAGAGAGUCUGCCUAAGAAUGAAGCCCCGACUCAGUGAGAAUGGGUGAAAAGGAGGCCAAUGACAUCGCUUGAACCCUGGAUCCAGCUGUGCCUGAGACAGAGGCCUUGGACUUCUCAGUUACAGGAAGCAGUAAAUUCAUCUUGUUACUUAACAUAGUCUAAGUUGGGUUUCUGCCACUUUCCGCUGAACAAGGAUGGAGUGAGCACCAUGUAGAAGCUUAAGAAAUCUAAGUUCUCUCAAUUUUCUUCCUUAAAGUGACCACUCCCCAUUAACCUCCCAACCUAUCAGUUGACAACAUGUCAACCGUGCCAAUCCAGCCACCUUUACUCCCUCACUACCCCUUAUGUGUCACAUUUGGUCCAGCCUCUAGCCCGUGCACAUGCUGUUCCUUCUAUCUGGCUGCAGAAUUAUGUCUUUCCAAAGAGGUUUACUUUUAAAUAAACUUCUCCUUAGUCCGUUACCCUGAAAAUGACUGACAGGCCCAUUUGCUAAAAGUGGCAGCAAGAAUUAAGAGCCUCC